Molecule: long non-coding RNA, 3029 nt
Organism: Rhinopithecus bieti (black snub-nosed monkey)
Lineage: Eukaryota; Metazoa; Chordata; Mammalia; Primates; Cercopithecidae
Source: Ensembl
AUGAUGGUCUCUUGCACUGCUUUUGUGAAUUCCUUCAGUGGAGGGACGUUCACGUCGCCACCGUUUUUUGCAAAGCACUGUGUUUUGCAGCCCCCGUGCUGGUUUGUGCUUCUGUUCCAUGAGCACUUGGCCUCCCAAAAUGCUGGGAUUACAGACCCUGACAGUCAUCCCUGUUGCAGAUGUGAGCCUCCAGGCUGUGGGGCACUGGGACACAUCUCUUGGUGUCUUCCAUGUCCUCCCUGUUCACCCCAGCUGCUUCCGCAACACAUCAACUGUGUAUCACGUUCCCUCUGCCUGUGGAGGCUGGCCUCAGGUUCCCCCUCUUGGUGGGGCCUGCUGGGGGACGUGGGAUGGUUUCUGGGCCUCCAGCUUUGCCAGCUUUCUCAGCAGGCACCCAUGCCUGUCUCUACAGCCUUGCUCUCCCUCCUGGAGGUGCCACUGUGCAUGGCCUUGGACAGAGGAUCGUUCCAACAGCCACUCGCCCCUUACUGCUUCAGCGCACCAAGCCUGGCCGGGGAGUACAUGGUUCUGCACAGGGGUCGGAGUCUGUGGCCUUGGUACCUCCCCAGCCAGAAGAUCACACGUACCCCUGGAUCUCACAGCCUCUUCAGGAGUGAGCCCUGGACAGCACUGUCAACAAGACGGGUGCUCAGUGCUUUCCCUGUUUUCUAUCAGAGAAGGUUCUGGUUUCUGAUGACUCCAACCUGCAUGCAGAUUACAUGCCAGCAGGGAGUUGAUGGCAACUGGAAUCGUGCCAACUUCACUUCCUACUGUGAUCCGACAACCCUUGGCCUGCCCUCUAACCCUCUCCACUCCAAGGUCAUCUCUCAAGCCUCAGUGGAACAGUCACGGCUCUUCCUCACAGCACAGGGCAACUUGGACCUGGUCUUACAGCUCUCCCAUCUGAUCUGGGAACUAGGACUGCUCAUCUACUGAGACUAUAUUGAGGGGGCUGGGCACGGUGGCUCAUGCCUGUAAUCCCAGCACUUUGGGAGGCCGAGGCAGGCAGAUCACCUAAGGUCAGGAGUUCGAGACCAGCCUGGCCAGCAUGGUGAACCACGUCUCUACUGAAAAUACAAAAUUAGCUGGGCAUGGUGGUGCGUGCCUGUAAUCUCAGCUACUUGGGAGGCUGAAGCAGGAGAAUCGCUUGAACUCAUGAGGCAGAGGUUGCAGUGAGCCAACGUCGCGUCACUAUACUCCAGCCUGGGUGACAGAGCGAGACUCCGCCUCAAAAAAAAAAAAAAAGAAAAGAAAAAAAGAAAAAACUUGGCAAUGACAGCACCAGGGCCUUCUCUGACAGGAGCCUGGAUGGAGAGUGAAUUACCCAGGAAAUGCAGCAGAGGCCGGGGUAGAACAAGGGUUCCCAGGCAGGAGCCAGGGUGACCCCAUCUGCUCUCCUGUCACUGAGGGCUGGGACAGUGGUGGUGUUGUCUUCAAAGCAAGGUGAGCUGGAUGGAGGCUGGGAUCCUAAGGACUGGGCUGCUGGCCUCUGCACUGUCUGUCUGAGGGCAGAUUACAUGUUCUUCUCUUAGUUUAGUCACAUUAUUUUGAGUCAUGUCACUCUCACCUGAAACUACAGCUAAUAAUAAACUGACCUGUUAUCCACCCGACUGGCAACUUAGACUGGGUGAAAUGGAUUGUGUUUUCUGAUCUCUCCUGUCAUACAACUCGUAUGGGCUACAGACAAACGUGAAUGCAUUAUUAACAAACCAGCAGACUGCGCAGGGGAGAGCGCAGAUGGCUGCAUAUGUUAAGAGCUGGAGGCAUUAAUUAUGAAGCAUCCUCAUCUUCUGGGGUUCACUCACAUCAUGACAGUACAAGUGUUUUCCUGGUAAAUCUACUGACAUUCUGUAAGUAAAGUCAACCUUCAGGGAGGAUUUCUUAAAUUCGAACCAAUUUAACAAAAUAAAUACAACAAGUGAGGAUUUUCUUUAAGGUUCUAUUAAAUGUUUUAAUAAGCUUCCUUUUGGAAGGGGCCAAUUUAAUUAAUUAAACCAUGAUAUUAAAAAAAGAAAAACAACCUAAUAAUGGUUCUGGCCAAGUAAAAUUUUACUUUUUUUUUUUUUUUUUUUGACAUGGAGUCUCACUCUAUCACCCAGGCUGCAGUGCAACAGCACGAUCUCGGCUCACCUUAACCUCUGCCUCCUGGGUUCAAGAGAUUCUUCUACCUCAGCCUCCUGAGUAGCCGGGAUUACAGGUGCCCACCACCAUGCCAGGCUAAUUUUUGUAUUUUUAAUAGAGACAGGGUAUCACCAUGUUGGUCAGGCUGGUCUCAAACUCCUGAGCUCAGGUGAUCUGCCCGCGUCAGCCUUCUAAAGUGCUGGGAUUACAGGUGUGAGUCAUCGUGCCUGGCUUAGAAUUUUACUUUGAUAAAAGUAUAAAAUGAUCGAAGGGAAGUAUGCUAUCGAGUAUACAGAAAUAUUAAAAGAUUAAAAACAGAGGGAUCAUAAACCAAAUAAAUAAGUUUAAAUGGCUAAGUUUGAUGCACUUUAUUAAGGUAUUAAGAAGAUACUGAAAAACAUGGAAACUUCCUUUGUGUAUGUUAUGUGGUGUACAAUAACGACAGGUGGGGCAUUGGCGAGUAACAAUGUCAGUUGGUUUGUCUCUUUAUCCAUCCCUUCUCACAUCUUCUCACUCAGCCCUGCCAGGCUCAUCCCUUGUCCUGUGUGUGCCAGGAACAGCCCUUGGCCGAAUAAGGACAGACACAGGCCAGUAAGGGAGCCCCACCGCGGCCACCUGAUCUUACAAAGGAGCAUGCGGCAACCCCCUGAGUGAGACACUGGGGAAAAGAAGGAGCCUCCUCCCUGUGGCAGAGGCUUGAGACCCAGCCAGGAAGCGCUGGGAAGCCAACCCCCAGAAGAGUGGCAUCGAACCGAGUUCUUAAAGAAUUCAUUGGGUUAAUUACAGGUUAAUUAGGGGAAGAGGAGAGGGACUGGAUUUGUGAAUUAUUUAUGUUCCGUAAGGAAGAAUGACGGGGAAAACAGUUGAAACAGCUUACAUCUCUACAUACCUGUUGGUUAUGAGCAUGG